CGUGAAUUUAUAUGCCGUGGAGAUGUAUUAAACGGGUCAGAUAAUGCAGCCAACAUGUUGAAUAGGUCCUCAUUUCCAGUUGCAAUACUUUUUGCUAGAUUCUGGUAUAUUUUACCCCGAGUUGUUUUAGUUCUUUACUUCGCAUUUCCGCAAACGCAACUUGACGCUACCGAUGCACUAUGGUUUUUUUCGCGUUUUUUUGGCAUAAAGUCAAUUUUUUUAUUUUUAUGUAUCUUAAAAUUUUUUUUAUUUUUAAUUUUUAAAUACCAUAGACAAAUAAAAAAAUAUGUAACUUUAACAUAUGGAACAACACUGUUCUGCUGGCCAGCUGUUAAAGUCAGCUGAUUAUGUAGCAGCUGUUUUGUAUGAAAUUGGCGCGAAAAAUUGUGCGACUUUGAUAGUUUGUUGUGGCAAAAGUUUACGAAGAAGUUAAAUGAAUAAAUAUGGAAAACGAUUGUCCAGAUUCGCAAUCCUUGGAAAAUGUUCUGUCGAACUUUUUAGAUUUUUGCAACGCUAAUUGUUCGAGAGGCCCUACUGUGCGGCAUUACCAUCUCAAAGAUCGAGUAAAGCAGGGAGAGAAGUUCCUCGGUCACAACAAUCUUCGAGGAACAGCCAAAAAUUUAUAAACACUAUUGAAUUUUUGUCAAAUACAUACAAAACAUUUUAAAA
Molecule: non-coding RNA, 669 nt
Organism: Drosophila kikkawai
Lineage: Eukaryota; Metazoa; Arthropoda; Insecta; Diptera; Drosophilidae
Source: RefSeq, a predicted model, not a curated record